This 839-nucleotide ribosomal RNA is filed under the name uncultured euryarchaeote. RNAcentral describes it as "bacterial SSU rRNA". It matches the Rfam family "Archaeal small subunit ribosomal RNA", at positions 21 to 865 of the family's 1478-position model. Lineage: Archaea; Methanobacteriati; Methanobacteriota. The record is from RNAcentral.
AGGUUACUGCUAUCGAGGUCCGACUAAGCCAUGCGAGUCGAAUGUAGCAAUACAUGGCAUACUGCUCAGUAACACGUGGACAACCUACCCUCAGAACGGGGAUAAACCCGGGAAACUGGGUAUAAUACCCGAUAGUUCUGGGAUGCUGGAAUGCUCCCAGGACGAAAGCUCCGGCGACUGAGGAUGGGUCUGCGGCCUAUCAGGUAGUAGUGGGUGUAAUGUACCUACUAGCCUACGACGGGUACGGGUUGUGGGAGCAAGAGCCCGGAGAUGGAUUCUGAGACACGAAUCCAGGCCCUACGGGGUGCAGCAGGCGCGAAAACUUUACAAUGCCGGCAACGGCGAUAAGGGGACCUCGAGUGCCAGGAUACAAUCUUGGCUGUCGUGAUGCCUAAAAAGCAUUGCAUAGCAAGGGCCGGGCAAGACCGGUGCCAGCCGCCGCGGUAACACCGGCGGCUCGAGUGGUAACCGCUAUUAUUGGGUCUAAAGGGUCUGUAGCCGGCCGGAUAAGUCUCUUGGGAAAUCCAGCAGCUCAACUGUUGGGCUUUCAGGAGAUACUGUUCGGCUCGAGGCCGGGAGAGGUGAGAGGUACUUCAGGGGUAGGGGUGAAAUCUUGUAAUCCUUGAAGGACCACCAGUGGCGAAGGCGUCUCACCAGAACGGUCCUGACGGCAAGGGACGAAAGCUAGGGGCACGAACCGGAUUAGAUACCCGGGUAGUCCUAGCCGUAAACGAUACUCGCUAGGUGUCAGCCACGGUGCGACCGUGGUUGGUGCCGUAGGGAAGCCGUGAAGCGAGCCACCUGGGAAGUACGGCCGCAAGGCUGAAACUUAAAGGAAU